Molecule: ribosomal RNA, 743 nt
Filed under: uncultured bacterium
Lineage: Bacteria
Description: bacterial SSU rRNA
Rfam family: Bacterial small subunit ribosomal RNA
Source: RNAcentral
AGCGGCGGACGGGUGAGUAACACGUGGGCAACCUGCCUGUAAGACUGGGAUAACUUCGGGAAACCGGAGCUAAUACCGGAUAAUCCUUUUCCUCUCAUGAGGAAAAGCUGAAAGACGGUUUACGCUGUCACUUACAGAUGGGCCCGCGGCGCAUUAGCUAGUUGGUGAGGUAACGGCUCACCAAGGCGACGAUGCGUAGCCGACCUGAGAGGGUGAUCGGCCACACUGGGACUGAGACACGGCCCCGACUCCUACGGGAGGCAGCAGUAGUGAAUCUUCCGCAAUGGACGAAAGUCUGACGGAGCAACGCCGCGUGAGUGAUGAAGGUUUUCGGAUCGUAAAACUCUGUUGUUAGGGAAGAACAAGUACAAGAGUAACUGCUUGUACCUUGACGGUACCUAACCAGAAAGCCACGGCUAACUACGUGCCAGCAGCCGCGGUAAUACGUAGGUGGCAAGCGUUGUCCGGAAUUAUUGGGCGUAAAGCGCGCGCAGGCGGUCCUUUAAGUCUGAUGUGAAAGCCCACGGCUCAACCGUGGAGGGUCAUUGGAAACUGGGGGACUUGAGUGCAGAAGAGAAGAGUGGAAUUCCACGUGUAGCGGUGAAAUGCGUAGAGAUGUGGAGGAACACCAGUGGCGAAGGCGACUCUUUGGUCUGUAACUGACGCUGAGGCGCGAAAGCGUGGGGAGCAAACAGGAUUAGAUACCCUGGUAGUCCACGCCGUAAACGAUGAGUGCUAAGUGU